ACUGGUCGAGUGAAAUUGCGCGGAAAAUUACCGGGGCUAAGUUAUCAACCGAAAUUGCGGAUUUGUAAUUUAUUACAAGUGGUAGAGGAGCAUUCUAUUGUAGGAUGAAGUCAGAGCGUGAGCACUGGUGGACGAGAUAGAAGAGAGAAUGCUGGAAUAAGUAGCGAGAGCAGGGUGAGAAUCCCUGCCGUCGAAAGUCUAAGGUUUCCUGGGGAAGGUUCGUCCGCCCAGGGUUAGUCAGGACCUAAGGAGAGGCCGAAAGGCGUAUCUGAUGGAUAGCAGGUUGAUAUUCCUGCACUAUAUAAUACUUAAAAGAUGCAACUGACGCAGAAGUGGAAGGUGAGCAAGGAAAUGGAAAAACUUGUUCCGCAAGGGGGAGUGAAAAUAAAGUAACGAAGCACCAAGAAGCACGCUGACGAGAAAAGGUUGUAGAUCUUGUAUUAUAUACUUGUACCGCAAACCGACACAGGUAGAUGAGGAGAGGAUCCUAAGACGAUCGGGAGAAGCAUUGUUAAGGAACUCGGCAAAUUGACCCCGUAACUUUGGAAGAAGGGGUACUGGUGUAACAGCCAGUCGCAGAGAAUUGUCCCAAGCAACUGUUUAACAAAAACAUAGGUUUCUGCUAAAUCGAAAGAUGAAGUAUAGGAGCUGACGCCUGCCCAGUGCUGGAAGGUUAAGGGAACGUGUUAAUAGUAAUAUGAAGCACCGAACUGAAGCCCCAGUGAACGGCGGCCGUAACUAUAACGGUCCUAAGGUAGCGAAAUUCCUUGUCAGGUAAGUUCUGACCCGCACGAAAGGCGUAAUGAUUUGGGAGCUGUCUCGACAAUGUCCCCGGCGAAAUUGUAGUACUAGUGAAGAUGCUAGUUACCUGCGACAAGACAGAAAGACCCCAUGGAGCUUUACUGCAGUUUGAUACUGAGUCAGGCUAAUUUAUGUACAGGAUAGUUAGGAGACUAUGAGGCUUAAGCGCUAGCUUAAGAAGAGUCAACGUUGGGAUACUAACCUUAAAUUAGUUUGAAUCUAACUCGUGAUCGUAAUCCGGUCAGAGGACAAUGUCAGACGGGCAGUUUGACUGGGGCGGUCGCCUCCUAAAGAGUAACGGAGGCGUUCAAAGGUUCCCUCAGCGCGGACAGAAAUCGCGCAAUAGAGUGUAAAGGCAGAAGGGAGCUUAACUGGGAGACUUACAAGUCGAGCAGAUACGAAAGUAGGACUUAGUGAUCCGGUGGAUUAUGAAUGGAAAUGCCAUCGCUCAACGGACAAAAGUUACCCUGGGGAUAACAGGCUUAUCUCCCCCAAGAGUUCACAUCGACGGGGAGGUUUGGCACCUCGAUGUCGGCUCAUCGCAUCCUGGGGCUGAAGUCGGUCCCAAGGGUUGGGCUGUUCGCCCAUUAAAGCGGUACGCGAGCUGGGUUCAGAACGUCGUGAGACAGUUCGGUCCUUAUCUGUCGCAGGCGCAGGAUAUUUGAGGAGAUCUGCCCCUAGUACGAGAGGACCAGGGUGGACGAACAGAUGGUGCAACAGUUGUUCUACCAAGAGCAUAGCUGUGUAGCCAAGUUCGGAAUGGAUAAACGCUGAGAGCAUCUAAGUGUGAAGCCAACUCCAAGAUAAGAUAUCCCAUACCGUUAAGGUAGU
Molecule: ribosomal RNA, 1632 nt
Filed under: human oral metagenome
Description: bacterial LSU rRNA
Rfam family: Bacterial large subunit ribosomal RNA
Source: RNAcentral